ACAAUGAAGAGUUUGAUCCUGGCUCAGGAUGAACGCUAGCGGCAGGCCUAACACAUGCAAGUCGAGGGGCAUCACGGAAAAGCUUGCUUUUCUGGUGGCGACCGGCGCACGGGUGCGGAACGCGUAUGGAACCUGCCCCUGUCAGGGGAAUAGCCCAGGGAAACUUGGAUUAAUGCCCCAUGGUACCGUUAUAUCGCAUGAUAUUGCGGUUAAAGAUUUAUCGGACAGGGAUGGCCAUGCGUACCAUUAGUUAGUUGGUGAGGUAACGG
This 269-nucleotide ribosomal RNA is filed under the name Allomuricauda sp. RNAcentral describes it as "partial 16S ribosomal RNA". It matches the Rfam family "Bacterial small subunit ribosomal RNA", at positions 1 to 263 of the family's 1533-position model. Lineage: Bacteria; Pseudomonadati; Bacteroidota; Flavobacteriia; Flavobacteriales; Flavobacteriaceae. The record is from RNAcentral.